Aethina tumida (small hive beetle) is the source of this 362-nucleotide long non-coding RNA. RefSeq lists it as uncharacterized. The record is from RefSeq and is a predicted model, not a curated record. The transcript has 3 exons. Lineage: Eukaryota; Metazoa; Arthropoda; Insecta; Coleoptera; Nitidulidae.
CCUGGUGGACCCGCUGAAGAUGGCUCCACUACGGAGAUGGCGUCCAUGCCCCAGGUCCUGGUGGACCCGCUGAAGAUGGCUCCACUACGGAGAUGGCGUCCAUGCCCCAGGUCCUGGGGGACCCUCUGAAGAAGGUUCCCCUAUGGAGAUGGUGUCCAUGCCCCAGGUCCUGGUGGACCCGCUGAAGAUGGCUCCACUACGGAGAUGGCGUCCAUGCCCCAGGUCCUGGGGGACCCUCUGAAGAAGGUUCCCCUAUGGAGAUGGUGUCCAUGCCCCAGGUCCUGGGGGACCCUCUGAAGAAGGUUCCCCUAUGGAGAUGGUGUCCAUGCCCCAGGUCCUGGGGGACCCUCUGAAGAAGGUUC